This 433-nucleotide ribosomal RNA is filed under the name uncultured bacterium. RNAcentral describes it as "partial 16S ribosomal RNA". It matches the Rfam family "Bacterial small subunit ribosomal RNA", at positions 29 to 507 of the family's 1533-position model. The record is from RNAcentral.
AACGAACGCUGGCGGCAGGCCUAACACAUGCAAGUCGAGCGGACCCUUCGGGGUUAGCGGCGGACGGGUGAGUAACGCGUGGGAAUAUGCCCUUCUCUACGGAAUAGUCCUGGGAAACUGGGGGUAAUACCGUAUACGCCCUUUGGGGGAAAGAUUUAUCGGGGAAGGAUUAGCCCGCGUUGGAUUAGGUAGUUGGUGGGGUAAUGGCCUACCAAGCCGACGAUCCAUAGCUGGUUUGAGAGGAUGAUCAGCCACACUGGGACUGAGACACGGCCCAGACUCCGACGGGAGGCAGCAGUGGGGAAUCUUAGACAAUGGGGGCAACCCUGAUCUAGCCAUGCCGCGUGAGUGAUGAAGGCCUUAGGGUUGUAAAGCUCUUUCAGCUGGGAAGAUAAUGACGGUACCAGCAGAAGAAGCCCCGGCUAACUCCGUG